GAUGAACGCUGGCGGCGUGCCUAAUACAUGCAAGUCGAGCGAACAGACGAGGAGCUUGCUCCUCUGACGUUAGCGGCGGACGGGUGAGUAACACGUGGAUAACCUACCUAUAAGACUGGGAUAACUUCGGGAAACCGGAGCUAAUACCGGAUAAUAUAUUGAACCGCAUGGUUCAAUAGUGAAAGACGGUUUUGCUGUCACUUAUAGAUGGAUCCGCGCUGCAUUAGCUAGUUGGUAAGGUAACGGCUUACCAAGGCGACGAUGCGUAGCCGACCUGAGAGGGUGAUCGGCCACACUGGAACUGAGGCACGGUCCAGACGCCUACGGGAGGCAGCAGUAGGGAAUCUUCCGCAAUGGGCGAAAGCCUGACGGAGCAACGCCGCGUGAGUGAUGAAGGUCUUCGGAUCGUAAAACUCUGUUAUUAGGGAAGAACAAAUGUGUAAGUAACUAUGCACGUCUUGACGGUACCUAAUCAGAAAGCCACGGCUAACUACGUG
This 497-nucleotide ribosomal RNA is filed under the name uncultured bacterium. Its description in RNAcentral is "partial 16S ribosomal RNA". It matches the Rfam family "Bacterial small subunit ribosomal RNA", at positions 28 to 507 of the family's 1533-position model. The record is from RNAcentral.